RNAcentral lists this long non-coding RNA (2040 nucleotides) under Homo sapiens (human). RNAcentral describes it as "PREDICTED lncRNA (TCONS_00218562)". The record is from RNAcentral. Lineage: Eukaryota; Metazoa; Chordata; Mammalia; Primates; Hominidae.
CACAGACGGUCUUUACAAGCGACUCGUGGGCGUCAAUACUGGGCUGAGUUUGUGGCGCGCUUAGUGAUGGGAUGGCCCUGUGCAGGACGCCGACACGAAAAGAUGAAGAGUUCAAUCCGUGCUGUCUGAACUCACAGUGUAGCAGGCGAGAUAGACGGGAAGAUCGGUAGGGUGGGAGAUGCCGGAAAGGCUUCCCGUGAGACUGGAUAAGAAAUCAAAAAUCUGGUGAAAUUGCCGGCAAGAGGGAGUUAAGGACAUUCCAGGCAGAGGCAAGUUGGUCCUUGCUGGCUGAUCCAGCUUCCCCGUCAGCAUAUGGUGAGCAGUUCGGUGAGAGGACCACACUUCCAAUACUGGCAGAUGAAGCCAGAUACUCCUCUAUGAAGUUAAAUGACUGGUUCAGUGUUAACACUGCUAGUGAGCGACAGAGAUGGAAUUUGAACGCACACCUGUCUGACUCCACCUCGUGUUCCUUCCACAUGGCCAGCAAGCUCUGCUGUCCCACCUCGCACUUCUGGGAGGUGGCUACUCCCUCUUUCCACCCCCUUUUCUGGAUCUUGACAAGGGAUUCUACCCUGCCCCAGCUGUCAAAGCCUGCAGCAGCUGCCAAAAAACCUCAACACAGGCAUACUUUGGACCUACAUCAUGUGUUGAUGUCACAGAUGCUGUACCAGGCAUUUGACUCCUUGAUCUAAAGCCAGGAUUCCUAGCCAACAUGGCGAAACCCUGUCUCUACUAAAAAUAACAAAAAUUAGCUGGGCAUGGUGAUAGGCACCUGUAAUCCCAGCUACUUGGGAGGCUGAGGCAGGAGAAUUACUUGAACCCAGGAAGCGAAGGCUGCAGUGAGCAGAGAUUGUGCCUCUGCACUACAGCCUGGGCUAUGGAGUAAGACUCUGUCUCAAAAAAAAAAAAAAAAAAAAAAUAGUGAGGGGGAUGCAUGCCCACACAAAGGAAUCCUGAUAGAGGAACAAUGGCUUGGUCCGUUUCCCCUCCUGUGUAGCACUGUGAUAAAGGAAAGCCUUUCAGGUAUGUGCCUCGAUGGAGCCAGUGGGUGGAAGAGGAAGGGCAAUGAGAGGUUUGAGGACAAGCUGCUGAUACCCUCAUGUGUCAUCACAGUGGUGCCCUUUGGGAGCCUGCUUUGGUAUACUCGUCCACUCAGGGAAGAGGAAGUCUCUUAUCCACAGUUUUGUCUUCAAAAUUGAAAUUUCUUUGGGCAGAGCCUAAAAGAGAGUUGCCUCAUUUCGUGUAACUGUAGCAUAUGUAGUGUAGAGGCUCCAAUGUGUUUUUGAGGCAAUCUGAGAGCUCUUUCUGGAAAUCCCUGGCAGAUGACAUCUGCGUCUGAUUUUACUUUGUCUUACAACCAGGCUAAGACCUCCAGCAUCAUCAGACUGUCGAACUGCUCAGGUCAAGGCAGACAGGUAGAAAGGCCCACAUAGAUAGUGGUUACUCAUCCCAAGAACACAGAGGCCCACACCAGGAAGGGGCAGGUGAUGUUAAUGAUGAGGCAGGCAAUUAUAUCUUGCGAUUUCUAUGAGCCAUGAUGCAUUACAGUAAGGAACUUUACCUCACUUGGCUUGUGACUUCUGUUAGUGAAAAGUGGCCUGCUGGCCUAUGCUGUGGAGGACUUGCAGAAAACUUCCCAGUCACCGGCAGACGGUUGACAUCUCCCCUGGUUCCUCCCCAACCCGUUUAGUGUGAAACGGGACAAAGGGAAACAUUUCCUUUGAUCUAUUUUUGGGGAAAGAGGCAAAUGUCAACUAAAUAAGAUCAUAUUAGGGACUGGGCAUGGUGGCUUAUGCCUGUAAUCCCAGCACUUUGGGAGGCCAAGGUGGGCGGAUCACCUGAGGUCAGGAGUUAGAGACCAGCCUAGCCAACAUGGCGAAACCCUGUCUCUACUAAAAAUACAAAAAAUAUUAGCCAGGUGUGGUAGCACGCGCCUGUAAUCCCAGCCACUCGGGAGGCUGAGGCACGAGAAUCACUUGAACCCAGGAGGCGGAGGUUGCAGUGAGGCGAGAUCACACCACUGCACUCCAGCAGCCUGGG